RNAcentral lists this ribosomal RNA (536 nucleotides) under uncultured bacterium. RNAcentral's name for it is "bacterial SSU rRNA". It matches the Rfam family "Bacterial small subunit ribosomal RNA", at positions 777 to 1304 of the family's 1533-position model. The record is from RNAcentral.
AAUAGAUACCCAGGUAGUCCACGCCGUAAACGUUGGAUACUAGGUGUGGCGGUCUACCAACGACUGCCGUGCCGAAGCUAACGCAUUAAGUAUCCCGCCUGGGGAGUACGGCCGCAAGGAUAAAACUCAAAGGAAUUGACGGGUCCCCGCACAAGCGGCGGAGCAUGUGGCUUAAUUCGACGCAACGCGAAGAACCUUACCAAGGCUUGACAUACACCGGAAACAUCCAGAGAUGGGUGCCCCCUUGUGGUCGGUGUACAGGUGGUGCAUGGCUGUCGUCAGCUCGUGUCGUGAGAUGUUGGGUUAAGUCCCGCAACGAGCGCAACCCUUGUCCUGUGUUGCCAGCACGCUCCUUCGGGGGUGGUGGGGACUCACGGGAGACUGCCGGGGUCAACUCGGAGGAAGGUGGGGACGACGUCAAGUCAUCAUGCCCCUUAUGUCUUGGGCUGCACACGUGCUACAAUGGCCGGUACAAUGAGCUGCGAUACCGCGAGGUGGAGCGAAUCUCAAAAGCCGGUCUCAGUUCGGAUUGGGGU